AGUGAACGCUGGCGGCGUGCUUAACACAUGCAAGUCGAACGAGAACGGAAUAUAGCUUACUAUAUUUGUCAGCUAAGUGGCGCACGGGUGAGUAAUGUAUAGAUAACCUGCCCUUAAGAAAGGAAUAACAGUUGGAAACGACUGCUAAUGCCCUAUAUGCCUUUAAUACAUAAGUAUGCAAGGGAAACGCUUUAGUGCUUAAGGAUGGGUCUGUAUGGUAUCAGCUUGUUGGUGAGGUAAUGGCUCACCAAGGCUAUGACGCCUAACUGGUUUGCGCGGAUGAUCAAUCACAUUGGAACUGAGACACGGUCCAGAAUCCUACGGGAGGCAGCAGUGGGGAAUAUUGAACAAUGGACGAAAGUCUGAUGCAGCAACGCCGCGUGGAGGAUGACACAUUUCGGUGCGUAAACUCCUUUUAUAUAGGAAGAUAAUGACGGUACUAUAUGAAUAAGCACCGGCGAACUCCGUGCAAGCCGCCGCCGUAA
This 485-nucleotide ribosomal RNA is filed under the name uncultured bacterium. Its description in RNAcentral is "partial 16S ribosomal RNA". It matches the Rfam family "Bacterial small subunit ribosomal RNA", at positions 29 to 523 of the family's 1533-position model. The record is from RNAcentral.